AUUCUCCUCUCUGUGAGCCCAGACCAGACGUCUAUCAUUUCAGCCACUGUUGGCAUACAGAGGGGAUGGUAGAAAUAUUCACUCAUUCUAUUCCAGCUGCAUGUCCUGAGACUAACCAGAGUUAGCUUGAGCAUCACUGGUUUUCUGAAAGAUCCUCCUCAGUGUUGCCUUCUACUGCUGCUGCUGCCCAGUAGCUGCCCUUCAGAAGUUUUUUCACCCACCUCACAAUCUUCCUCUGCUGAUGGCACCAUUACUCCUGGAGAGGCUGGAUGCAUCUUAGCUGGUGUUUCCUCAUUGACUGUUCCAUCUUGGGUGACCCUGUAAGGACACCAGUCUAAUGAAUACUAGAGCACCUUCUGGCAGCCUUGCUCUCAGCUUCUCUGACCCUUCACCAUAUUAAGAUUAUUUUAUCACUGUGUUAACUUGGAAUGUGUCAUUGAUGACUUACUUUCUUCAGCUCCACUGGCUUUUCUUCCCUGCAACUGCUGGUGUCCUACAUGCUUAUGUGCACUUGAAAUUUUGAAGAAAGCACUUGACAGGAAUUUGGUAUUUCAGCUGAACAAACCAGCUUGCCGACUGGGAUUUUAAAAUGCCUCAUAUGGCAGAAAACACUUAGUAGGGCUGAUCCUAACCAUCAAAAGUGAUUUGCACCAUGAGAUUAGGAAUGUUG
Long non-coding RNA from Varanus komodoensis (Komodo dragon), 670 nucleotides. RefSeq lists it as uncharacterized. The record is from RefSeq and is a predicted model, not a curated record. Lineage: Eukaryota; Metazoa; Chordata; Lepidosauria; Squamata; Varanidae. The transcript is spliced from 4 exons.